GCGAGAAAACUUUGCAAUGUGCGAAAGCACGACAAGGUUAAUCCGAGUGGUUUCUGCUAAAGAAACCUUUUGUCAGUCCUAGAAACACUAACGAAUAAGGGGUGGGCAAGUUCUGGUGUCAGCCGCCGCGGUAAAACCAGCACCUCAAGUGGUCAGGAGGAUUAUUGGGCCUAAAGCAUCCGUAGCCGGUUCUGUAAGUUUUCGGUUAAAUCCACUAGCUUAACUAAUGGGCUGCCGAAAAUACUGCAGAACUAGGGAGUGGGAGAGGUAGACGGUACUCGGUAGGAAGGGGUAAAAUCCUUUGAUCUAUUGAUGACCACCUGUGGCGAAGGCGGUCUACCAGAACACGUUCGACGGUGAGGGAUGAAAGCUGGGGGAGCAAACCGGAUUAGAUACCCUUGUAGUCCCUGAGCGGGCUGGCAAGGCGCAU
RNAcentral lists this ribosomal RNA (430 nucleotides) under uncultured bacterium. RNAcentral describes it as "bacterial SSU rRNA". It matches the Rfam family "Archaeal small subunit ribosomal RNA", at positions 339 to 776 of the family's 1478-position model. The record is from RNAcentral.